GUCUACAGCCAUGCCACCCUAAACAAGCCUGAUCCCGUCUGAUCUCGGAAGCUAAGCAGGGUCGGUCCUGCUUAGUACUUGGCUGGGAGACCAUCUAGGAAGUCCAGGUGCUGUAGGCA
RNAcentral lists this ribosomal RNA (119 nucleotides) under Pteropus alecto (black flying fox). The record is from RNAcentral. Lineage: Eukaryota; Metazoa; Chordata; Mammalia; Chiroptera; Pteropodidae.